UUAUUAGCUACUUUGGAUCAUAUUGGUGGCAUCCUGCGCUGCUCUAUUAAUUCAAUCCAUGGCAGCCAAUCUUGGGGUCAUCACUGGAAAGCACUUAGCAGAGCAUUCUAGAAAUGAAUAUCCUUGGGCUACCAACUUUAUUCUUUGGUUUAUUGCUGAAAUUGCCAUAGUCGCCUGUGACAUUCCUGAAGUAAUUGGGACAGCCUUUGCAUUGAACAUGCUUUUCAGCAUACCUGUUUGGAUUGGUGUUCUUCUAACAGGACUCAAUACAUUGGUGUUCUU
Non-coding RNA from Arachis ipaensis, 282 nucleotides. NCBI's taxonomy places the organism in Eukaryota, Viridiplantae, Streptophyta, Magnoliopsida, Fabales, Fabaceae. The record is from RefSeq and is a predicted model, not a curated record.